GAUGAACGCUAGCGGUGUGCUUAAAGCAUGCAAGUCGAACGUGAUCUCUUGGAUUCGUCUGAGGGUGAAAGUGGCGAACGGGUGAGUAAUGCGUUGGUGAUCUGCCCCGGAGUGGGGAAUAACUAUUGGAAACGAUAGCUAAUACCCCAGAUGUCCUCGUGUUUGGAAAGCGAUGACUAAAGUUCAGGCGCUCCGGGAGGAGCCGACGUCCCAUCAGCUAGUUGGUAGGGUAAUGGCCUACCAAGGCACAGACGGGUAGGGGGCGUGAGAGCGUGACCCCCCACACUGGUACUGACACACGGACCAGAUACCUACGGGUAGCAGCAGCUAGGAAUAUUGGACAAUGGGCGAAAGCCUGAUCCAGCAACACCGCGUGGAGGACGAAGGCCUUCGGGUCGUAAACUACCUUUUUGGGGGGUAGUGAGAAGGAACGAGUACCCCCACGAAUAAGGACCC
RNAcentral lists this ribosomal RNA (456 nucleotides) under uncultured bacterium. RNAcentral describes it as "bacterial SSU rRNA". It matches the Rfam family "Bacterial small subunit ribosomal RNA", at positions 28 to 495 of the family's 1533-position model. The record is from RNAcentral.